GGGGGUAUAGCUCAGUGGCAGAGUGCUUGCUUGUUAUGCACAAGGUCCUGGGUUAAAUCCCCAGUACUUCCA
Transfer RNA from Camelus ferus (Wild Bactrian camel), 72 nucleotides. It matches the Rfam family "tRNA". Rfam says of the family: Transfer RNA (tRNA) molecules are approximately 80 nucleotides in length. Their secondary structure includes four short double-helical elements and three loops (D, anti-codon, and T loops). Further hydrogen bonds mediate the characteristic L-shaped molecular structure. tRNAs have two regions of fundamental functional importance: the anti-codon, which is responsible for specific mRNA codon recognition, and the 3' end, to which the tRNAs corresponding amino acid is attached (by aminoacyl-tRNA synthetases). tRNAs cope with the degeneracy of the genetic code in two manners: having more than one tRNA (with a specific anti-codon) for a particular amino acid; and 'wobble' base-pairing, i.e. permitting non-standard base-pairing at the 3rd anti-codon position. The record is from Rfam. Lineage: Eukaryota; Metazoa; Chordata; Mammalia; Artiodactyla; Camelidae.